Molecule: ribosomal RNA, 227 nt
Filed under: Clostridioides difficile
Lineage: Bacteria; Bacillati; Bacillota; Clostridia; Peptostreptococcales; Peptostreptococcaceae
Description: partial 16S ribosomal RNA
Rfam family: Bacterial small subunit ribosomal RNA
Source: RNAcentral
UACACACGUGCUACAAUGGGUAGUACAGAGGGUUGCCAAGCCGUAAGGUGGAGCUAAUCCCUUAAAGCUACUCUCAGUUCGGAUUGUAGGCUGAAACUCGCCUACAUGAAGCUGGAGUUACUAGUAAGCGCAGAUCAGAAUGCUGCGGUGAAUGCGUUCCCGGGUCUUGUACACACCGCCCGUCACACCACGGGAGUUGGAGACGCCCGAAGCCGAUUAUCUAACCU